This is an unclassified non-coding RNA of Erinaceus europaeus (western European hedgehog), 275 nucleotides long. Its record names the gene 7SK. It matches the Rfam family "7SK RNA". Rfam says of the family: 7SK was discovered as an abundant small nuclear RNA in the mid-70s but a possible function has only recently been suggested. The record is from Ensembl. NCBI's taxonomy places the organism in Eukaryota, Metazoa, Chordata, Mammalia, Eulipotyphla, Erinaceidae.
GGAUGUGAGGGUGAUGUGGCGGCAACAUCUGUCACCCGGCCGACUGGCUGACCCAGAUGGCUGGGGGUGUCCCCUUCUUCCAAAGCUGUGUGCUCUGUCAGAGAGGACGGCCUUUCCAAACAGAGAUGGGCUGAUCUUUGGUCGAGGGUCUGCGAGCAGCUGCUCUCCUGUACUAGAACUUCCAAACAAGCUCUCAACAGAAACUUAUAAAGGCCAGAAAGGACUGGCAGGAUAGAGUAUGAAUUUUCUAAAGCUCUCCACCCAAGGCUUUGAUA